UAGGGUCUCAGAUAUAUAACUAUUUAAAAUGACUUUUGCAGCUCAUUUUGUCCCAUUUGGUGUUUUUUUUUAGCAACACCAUUGUUGAUUGUAUGUCAUGUAAAUGAGAGAGGGAGAAUGGCAGAUAUAUAUGGACUUUAAAGCGAUGUGAACUGAGGUUAGUGGUUAUUGCAGAGAAGGAGGAAGUCAAACGUGAAGACUAUUACUGUAGCCUUUCACAAUCAGCCAUUCAGCCCUCCCCCUGUCCAAGUGAAGGUAACAAGCAGACCCUGACAGAAAGCUACAGCUGAAGAUGAAUCCAUGGACCCUCUCUGUGCUCCUGCUGCUAGCUGAUGGAUAGGAUGUGAAGGUCAGAAGCUCCGUCACUGACCAUGUGGUGAAAGAGGGCGGUCAGGUCACACUCACCUGUACCUCAGCCUGCUCCUUCCACCAAUUGGACGUCCACUGGUACAGAAAUGGCCACUCCCUAUCAGAGACAGGCCCCGCCCUCCACCUCAGCAGUCUGACCAAUGACGACACAGGGAAUUACACCUGCUCUAUGGACCCCAGUGGGCUGAAAACCUCUGCGCCUUGGAGUCUGGUCAUGGUGGAAGAUGACAAAAAAGGCAGGUUUGUCUGGCUCCUGACGGUGUCGGUGGUGUUGAAGGUGCUGUGGGCUGUGUUCCUUCUCCUCCUGGCUGGGCUGGUCUUCGCUAAAAGGUCAGCCCCUGGACCGGAACAUGAGAUGGUCUACAGCGAGGUCGUUGGCUGAACCAAACUCAAGCAGCGACUCCUCUUCCUCCUCCAGUGAUGACGAGAUAAGGGAACACUGACGUCAUCAUGUCUGUUGUCUGUCAGUCUUAUUGGUUGAGUCUUGUUCUUUUCAGUUUUUAUUUCUGAUUGUAACAUUUCUGUUGAUUUUAGUGUUUUAUGCAUUUGAGUUAUCUUUCUUUAUUGUAUGUUUAUUCUGAAUAUACUCGAGGUUGUCUGAAUAACGGUGAGGUUUGUAAAGACUGGUCCUGAUGACUAGGCUAUGUUUAAAAAAAAUAUUUCUCAAUUUGGUUUUUUGAUGCCAAGGCUGCUCAGUCUUUCAUGAGCCUUUUCUUCUUCUGUUAGCUUACAGUAUUUAUACAAUCAUAUCUUUACAGUCUAUGGGUCAUGUAGGCUUGCAAUAAGAUCUGUCAUGCUCUUAUCAUCGAUGGUUGCUGUGUUAAAGUGAAGCCAUUUUAAAUACUGAUAAAGUUAAUGGGGGGCAGGAACUUUGUCUACGGCCAUGUGUGUCGAAGUCCUCUCUGCUCCGAAUACUAUUAUUAAGAUUACAGAAGUCACAUAGAGUUGAAUUAAAGUCUUUUUGUGAAGCAUAACCCAAUUUAGACAUACAACAUGCUUUUUGGGAACUGUAUUAGACCUUUCAAGUAGGCUAUUCAACUAUAAAAGUUUAAUUAUUACUUUAUUCUGAAAAUGCAGUGUUUUCAUUUGGAUACAGCUGUUAGUUAGCCUAAUGCUAACAGCUAAUAGGCUAACAAAAUAAAACCAUGCCAAUCUCUAGGUGCAGUGAAGGGCAUUUGAUGAUGUGGGCUAUUUUAAUUCCAAAGGCUGGGGGAACUUAAUCAGGAAGCAUAGUAUCCUGGAUCCAUGAAAUAAUUGGCUUUUAAAAAAUAAAAUCUGCCUGCCUCUAUGGGAAUUUACAA
Gadus morhua (Atlantic cod) is the source of this 1670-nucleotide long non-coding RNA. RefSeq lists it as uncharacterized. NCBI's taxonomy places the organism in Eukaryota, Metazoa, Chordata, Actinopteri, Gadiformes, Gadidae. The transcript is spliced from 4 exons. The record is from RefSeq and is a predicted model, not a curated record.